UGCAGAUGAUGUAAAAGAAUAUUUGCUAUCUGAAAGAGGGUGAUGACAUUUAAAAAAAAAAAGAUGGGGUUUUACCAUAAUGGCCAGGCU
Saimiri boliviensis boliviensis (Bolivian squirrel monkey) is the source of this 90-nucleotide small nucleolar RNA. RefSeq annotates it as small nucleolar RNA SNORD24. The record is from RefSeq and is a predicted model, not a curated record. Lineage: Eukaryota; Metazoa; Chordata; Mammalia; Primates; Cebidae.